This 74-nucleotide transfer RNA is filed under the name Dorea sp. Its description in RNAcentral is "tRNA-Glu". It matches the Rfam family "tRNA". From Rfam's summary of the family: Transfer RNA (tRNA) molecules are approximately 80 nucleotides in length. Their secondary structure includes four short double-helical elements and three loops (D, anti-codon, and T loops). Further hydrogen bonds mediate the characteristic L-shaped molecular structure. tRNAs have two regions of fundamental functional importance: the anti-codon, which is responsible for specific mRNA codon recognition, and the 3' end, to which the tRNAs corresponding amino acid is attached (by aminoacyl-tRNA synthetases). tRNAs cope with the degeneracy of the genetic code in two manners: having more than one tRNA (with a specific anti-codon) for a particular amino acid; and 'wobble' base-pairing, i.e. permitting non-standard base-pairing at the 3rd anti-codon position. The record is from RNAcentral. Lineage: Bacteria; Bacillati; Bacillota; Clostridia; Lachnospirales; Lachnospiraceae.
GGCUCCUUAGUCUAAAUGGUUAGGACACCAGCCUUUCAAGCUGGUAAUACCGGGUUCGAGUCCCGUAGGAGUCA